RNAcentral lists this long non-coding RNA (301 nucleotides) under Brassica napus (rape). RNAcentral's name for it is "long non-coding RNA (BNAP_LNC013742)". The record is from RNAcentral. Lineage: Eukaryota; Viridiplantae; Streptophyta; Magnoliopsida; Brassicales; Brassicaceae.
ACAUAGAUAGCAGUAAAAAAAUAUAAUAUUAUUUGAAAACAUAGAUAACAUUAUAUUAAGUAAAAAGAGUAACACUUAUGUUAUUAAAAAAGUUAUUAGAAGUUCAUUAUACUAUAAGAAACUAUAUAUUUGGGCCAGCUUUAAAAUAUAUGAAAAUAUCCCAAGCUAAUUACCUAAAAAUAUCUUUUGUCAAAAAUAAUCAUAAAACAAAAUUUAAACUUUAUAUACAUAUUUCAAAUCAAAAUAUUAAUUUAAAAUUGAUUUAUAUCAAAAAUGAUUCAAAAAUAUACAUAUAUUUAGA